GCCCAACAGCUAGCCCACCCAACCAAACUCAACAAACCCCUGUUAAUAACCCCUAAGUACCCCCGUAUUUGAAUUAAACAAACCAUUUUUCCCCCUUAGUAUAGGCGAUAGAAAAGGGAUACCGGCGCAAUAGAGAAAGUACCGCAAGGGAACGCUGAAAGAGAAAUGAAAUAACCCAGUAAAGCCUAAAAAAGCAGAGAUUAAGCCUCGUACCUUUUGCAUCAUGAUUUAGCGAGUGUACCCCAAGCAAAGCGUACUUUAGUUUGGCGCCCCGAAACUACGUGAGCUACUCCAAGACAGCCUAUUAAUAGGGCGCACCCGUCUCUGUGGCAAAAGAGUGGGGAGAGCUUUGAGUAGAGGUGAUAAACCUACCGAACCUAGUUAUAGCUGGUUGUCCAAGAAAUGAAUAGAAGUUCAGCCUCCUGGCUUCUCUUUUCACCCUAGUUUAACCCCUAUUGAUGCAAUAAGAAACCAGGAGAGUUAGUCAAAGGGGGUACAGCCCCUUUGAAUCAAGACACAACUUUACCAGGAGGAU
This 535-nucleotide ribosomal RNA is filed under the name Hemitripterus villosus. Its description in RNAcentral is "partial 16S ribosomal RNA". It matches the Rfam family "Bacterial large subunit ribosomal RNA", at positions 157 to 1040 of the family's 2925-position model. Lineage: Eukaryota; Metazoa; Chordata; Actinopteri; Perciformes; Agonidae. The record is from RNAcentral.